RNAcentral lists this ribosomal RNA (502 nucleotides) under Bergeyella zoohelcum. RNAcentral's name for it is "bacterial SSU rRNA". It matches the Rfam family "Bacterial small subunit ribosomal RNA", at positions 9 to 498 of the family's 1533-position model. The record is from RNAcentral. Lineage: Bacteria; Pseudomonadati; Bacteroidota; Flavobacteriia; Flavobacteriales; Weeksellaceae.
GAGUUUGAUCAUGGCUCAGGAUGAACGCUAGCGGGAGGCCUAACACAUGCAAGCCGAGCGGGAUUUGUUGGUUAGCUUGCUAACUAAUAAUGAGAGCGGCGUACGGGUGCGUAACACGUGUGCAACCUGCCUUUAUCUGGGGGAUAGCCUUUCGAAAGGAAGAUUAAUACCCCAUAAUAUAUUAAUUGGCAUCAAUUGAUAUUGAAAGCUCCGGCGGAUAGAGAUGGGCACGCGUAAGAUUAGCUAGUUGGUGAGGUAACGGCUCACCAAGGCUGCGAUCUUUAGGGGGCCUGAGAGGGUGAUCCCCCACACUGGUACUGAGACACGGACCAGACUCCUACGGGAGGCAGCAGUGAGGAAUAUUGGACAAUGGGUGAGAGCCUGAUCCAGCCAUCCCGCGUGAAGGACUAAGGACCUAUGGUUUGUAAACUUCUUUUAUACAGGGAUAAACCUACUCUCGUGAGGGUAAGCUGAAAGGUACUGUAUGAAUAAAGCCCCGGCA